UUGAACGCUGGCGGCAGGCCUAACACAUGCAAGUCGAGCGGAUGAAGGGAGCUUGCUCCUGGAUUCAGCGGCGGGCGGGUGAGUAAUGCCUAGGAAUCUGCCUGGUAGUGGGGGAUAACGUCCGGAAACGGGCGCUAAUACCGCAUACGUCCUGAGGGAGAAAGUGGGGGAUCUUCGGACCUCACGCUAUCAGAUGAGCCUAGGUCGGAUUAGCUAGUUGGUGGGGUAAAGGCCUACCAAGGCGACGAUCCGUAACUGGUCUGAGAGGAUGAUCAGUCACACUGGAACUGAGACACGGUCCAGACUCCUACGGGAGGCAGCAGUGGGGAAUAUUGGACAAUGGGCGAAAGCCUGAUCCAGCCAUGCCGCGUGUGUGAAGAAGGUCUUCGGAUUGUAAAGCACUUUAAGUUGGGAGGAAGGGCAGUAAGUUAAUACCUUGCUGUUUUGACGUUACCAACAGAAUAAGCACCGGCUAACUUCGUG
This 483-nucleotide ribosomal RNA is filed under the name uncultured bacterium. RNAcentral describes it as "partial 16S ribosomal RNA". It matches the Rfam family "Bacterial small subunit ribosomal RNA", at positions 30 to 507 of the family's 1533-position model. The record is from RNAcentral.